UUCUAGGGUUUUUAUGGUUUUAGGUCUAACAUUUAAGUCUCUAAUUCAUCUUGAAUUAAUUUUCGUAUAAGGAGUAAGGAAAGGAUCCAGUUUCAGCUUUCUACUUAUGGCUAGCCAAUUUUCCCAGCACCAUUUAUUAAAUAGGGAAUCCUUUCCCCAUUUCUUGUUUUUCUCAGGUUUAUCAAAGAUCAGAUGGCUGUAGAUGUGUAGUAUUAUUUCUAGGGGCUCUGUUCUGUUCCAUUGGUCUAUAUCUGUGUUUUGGUACCAGUACCAUGCUGUUUUGGUUACUGUAGCCUUGUAGUAUAGUUUGAAGUCAGGUAGUGUGAUGCCUCCAGCUUUGUUCUUUUGACUUAGGAUUGUCUUGGCAAUGUGGGCUCUUUUUUUGGUUCCAUAUGAACUUUAAAGCAGUUUUUUCCAAUUCUGUGAAGAAACUCAUUGGUAGCUUAAUGGGGAUGGCAUUGAAUCUAUAAAUUACCUUGGGCAGUAUGGCCAUUUUCACGAUAUGACCCAGCCAUCCCAUUACUGGGUAUAUACCCAAAGGAUUAUAAAUCAUGCUAGUAUAAAGAUACAUGCACACGUAUUUUUAGUGCAGCCCUAUUCACAAUAGCAAAGACUUGGAACCAACCCAAAUGUCCAUCAAUGAUAAACGGGAUUAAGUAAAUGUGGCACAUAUACACCAUGGAAUACUAUGCAGUCAUAAAAAAGGAUGAGUUCAUAUCCUUUGUAGCGACAUAGAUGAAGCUGGAAACCAUCAUUCUGAGCAAACUAUCGCAAGGACAGAAAACCAAACACCACAUGUUCUCACUCAUAGGUGGUAAUUGAACAAUGAGAACACUUGGACACAGGAAGGGGAACAUCACACACCAGGGCCUGUCACGGGGUGUGGGAAGGGGGUAGGGAUAGCAUUAGGAGAAAUACCUAAUGUAAAUGACAAGUUAAUGGGUGCAGCACACCAACAUGGCACAUGUAUACAUAUGUAACAAACCUGCAUGUUGUGCACAUGUACCCUAGAACUUCAAGUAUAAUAAAAAAUAAAAUAAAAUAAAAGAUAAUUCUGAUAGAAAAAAUAGUCAUAUUCUU
RNAcentral lists this long non-coding RNA (1080 nucleotides) under Papio anubis (olive baboon). RNAcentral's name for it is "lncRNA (ENSPANG00000051217.1)". The record is from RNAcentral. Lineage: Eukaryota; Metazoa; Chordata; Mammalia; Primates; Cercopithecidae.